AGCAGCCGCGGUAAUUCCAGCUCCAAUAGCGUAUAUUAAAGUUGUUGCAGUUAAAAAGCUCGUAGUUGAAUUUCGGGAUCAGUACGCUGGUCGUGCCUUUGGUAUGUACUGGUGUCACUGAUUCCUCCCUUCUGAAGAACCGUUAUGCCAUUUAUUUGGUGUGGCGGGAAAUCAGGACUGUUACUUUGAAAAAAUUAGAGUGUUUAAAGCAGGCUCGCGCUUGAAUACAUUAGCAUGGAAUAAUGAAAUAGGACGUUUGAUCUUAUUUUGUUGGUUUCUAGGAUCGACGUAAUGAUUAAUAGGGAUAGUUGGGGGCAUUAGUAUUCAAUUGUCAGAGGUGAAAUUCUUGGAUUUAUUGAAGACUAACUACUGCGAAAGCAUUUGCCAAGGAUGUUUUCAUUAAUCAAGAACGAAAGUUAGGGGAUCGAAGACGAUCAGAUACCGUCGUAGUCUUAACCAUAAACUAUGCCGACUAGGGAUCGGA
Molecule: ribosomal RNA, 484 nt
Filed under: uncultured Glomus
Lineage: Eukaryota; Fungi; Glomeromycota; Glomeromycetes; Glomerales; Glomeraceae
Description: SSU rRNA
Rfam family: Eukaryotic small subunit ribosomal RNA
Source: RNAcentral